AUAUCAAUAAGCGGAGGAAAAGAAACCAACCGGGAUUGCCUCAGUAACGGCGAGUGAAGCGGCAAGAGCUCAAAUUUGAAAUCUGGCCCCUCUGGGGUCCGAGUUGUAAUUUGCAGAGGAUGCUUCGGGUGCGGUCCCCGUCUAAGUGCCCUGGAACGGGCCGUCAUAGAGGGUGAGAAUCCCGUCUGGGAUGGGCGGCCGCGCCCGUGUGAAGCUCCUUCGACGAGUCGAGUUGUUUGGGAAUGCAGCUCUAAGCGGGUGGUAAAUUUCAUCUAAAGCUAAAUACUGGCCGGAGACCGAUAGCGCACAAGUAGAGUGAUCGAAAGAUGAAAAGCACUUUGAAAAGAGAGUUAAACAGCACGUGAAAUUGUUGAAAGGGAAGCGUUGUCCACCAGACUCGCCCGGGGGGGCUCAGCCGGCACGUGUGCCGGUGUACUCCUCUCCGGGCGGGCCAGCAUCGGUUUGGGCGGCUGGUGAAAGACCCCGGGAAUGUACCACCCUCCGGAGUGCCUUAUAGCCCGGGGUGCCAUGCAGCCAGCCUGGACCGAGGCCCGCGCUUCGGCGAGGAUGCUGGCGUAAUGGUGGUCAACGG
RNAcentral lists this ribosomal RNA (592 nucleotides) under uncultured fungus. Its description in RNAcentral is "eukaryotic LSU rRNA". It matches the Rfam family "Eukaryotic large subunit ribosomal RNA", at positions 40 to 647 of the family's 3401-position model. Lineage: Eukaryota; Fungi. The record is from RNAcentral.